UGGUCCUUGAGGUGUUUGUCAGUGUGGGCUAGCUUCCCCUGCUGUAUUUAUUUAUGUAUUGUCUUAAUUUUAUCAGAGUUUAAAAUGAAGACGGCUGCUAACCAUUGUGGACCAAAUGUCAUGCUACCACUAAACAAAAGACCCACUCAGUCUGUGUAAAAUCGUAUGUCUUUUUAAAGGUAUUUGGAGAUUCAUCUAAGCUUUAAAGAGGGCCAGGCAGCUUGAGCACCUGAGAUGCGGACAUAACUCUGGACCGGUUCUGUUGUGUCAGCUGCUCUAUGGCCUCUGAAGAGCAAUAGCU
This 301-nucleotide long non-coding RNA is filed under the name Androctonus crassicauda. Lineage: Eukaryota; Metazoa; Arthropoda; Arachnida; Scorpiones; Buthidae. The record is from RNAcentral.